This 248-nucleotide unclassified non-coding RNA is filed under the name plant metagenome. RNAcentral describes it as "partial contains small subunit ribosomal RNA and internal transcribed spacer 1". The record is from RNAcentral.
AAGGUCAUAACAAGGUUUCCCGUAGGUGAACCCUGCGGAAGGAUCAUUACCGAGAUAGGGCGAUCAACGUCGCCCGACCUCCAACCCCCGUAACUACCUCACCGAUUCCGUUGCCUCGGCGGGCCGCCGUCACCCUUUGCUGGGUGUCGCCGUCGGCGCCCUCGUGCGCUCUCGCGCGCCUGCCGGGGACCACACCGAAACUCUUGUUCAAAACCGAGCAGACUGAUGAAAAUUUUAAUACUUCAAAA